RNAcentral lists this ribosomal RNA (498 nucleotides) under uncultured bacterium. Its description in RNAcentral is "partial 16S ribosomal RNA". It matches the Rfam family "Bacterial small subunit ribosomal RNA", at positions 30 to 523 of the family's 1533-position model. The record is from RNAcentral.
AUUGAACGCUGGCGGCAUGCCUUACACAUGCAAGUCGAACGGUAACGGGCCUUCGGGUGCCGACGAGUGGCGAACGGGUGAGUAAUGUAUCGGAACGUACCUUUCAGUGGGGGAUAACGUAGCGAAAGUUACGCUAAUACCGCAUAUUCUGUGAGCAGGAAAGCAGGGGAUAGCAAGACCUUGCGCUGCUUGAGCGUGCGAUAUCAGAUUAGCUAGUUGGUGAGGGAAAGGCUCACCAAGGCGACGAUCUGUAGCGGGUCUGCGAGGAUGAUCCGCCACACUGGAACUGAGACACGGUCCAGACUCCUACGGGAGGCAGCAGUGGGGAAUUUUGGACAAUGGGGGCAACCCUGAUCCAGCCAUGCCGCGUGAGUGAAGAAGGCCUUCGGGUUGUAAAGCUCUUUCGGCCGGGAAGAAAUCGUAUCAGCUAAUACCUGGUGCGGAUGACGGUACCGGCAUAAGAAGCACCGGCUAACUACGUGCCAGCAGCCGCGGUAA